RNAcentral lists this long non-coding RNA (930 nucleotides) under Physcomitrium patens. Its description in RNAcentral is "long non-coding RNA (PPAT_LNC011873)". The record is from RNAcentral. Lineage: Eukaryota; Viridiplantae; Streptophyta; Bryopsida; Funariales; Funariaceae.
UCUACAGCACCCUCGAAAUUAAGGAUGUAGAGAGCCUAUCAUGAGCGCAUCUUAUAGCCUUACCUUGGCUGUCUCUAUCUUGGAUGUGUUCUUUGAUCAUAGACCUACAUGAAUGCGUGCAGGAAAGAGAGCAAAAGUUGUUUGCAGGUCAUCGCAAAAGGUCAUUGUUGACUGGCUGGAAUUUUUUGAAGAUGAAGGGGAUAUGAAGAAACAGAGAUAUUUCUAUUGGUGGAUUCGAAGUGGUGGAUCUGGGUGAGUCUCAGCACCCAGUCCAGUUCUGUUGGAACAAUGUGGUUCUGAACUCAGUACAUCUAAGCAAGGCGUACAAGUAAAAGCAGUUCGGGUGACUCGUGAUAGAAUGUUAAUGAGUUGGGAUGUAGGCCUUGGACCUGGUAUCUGCAAUUCACAAUGUUUUAUCCUGUUCCCCGUCAUGUGGGUGCAAAAUUGUUACUCCUCUUGGGAAAACUACAUCGAUGUCCUGGGCGACAAGUAUCCACCUGAACUGGCAUGACUGGAACCACUAGAGUUCGCCGAAGUGUGCAUAUAUCGUACUCUAUCAGGCUUCCUUGAAACAUGACAAUCGGAGGUUCGUGGGAGUAUGUAAUGGUGCCUAUCAAAUUGCGGAGGAUCGACGAUUAUAUAUUAUGCAUGGUUGGUUCAUUGUGCACAACCAUGUAUGAUGAGUGUAAUGUCCUACAUAUUGCAAGGUGCCAACAGUCCAAUGAUCUUCUGAACAACAUGAUAAGCUCAGUAAAUGACUUGGAAGAGUUGGGUGAAGAAGGAGCCAUUCAGGUUGAAGUGCGGCAAGUGUGCAUACUUUGUGUGAAUAAAGAUAGUUUUUCCAAGGCGCUACGUUCUUGAGGCAGUUGGAGCUUGCUUUGUGAGAUGGGCUAUGUGGCUUAGGAGGUUCAUGCAAGUGUUUUGCCCAAG